This 5343-nucleotide long non-coding RNA is filed under the name Brassica napus (rape). RNAcentral describes it as "long non-coding RNA (BNAP_LNC015032)". Lineage: Eukaryota; Viridiplantae; Streptophyta; Magnoliopsida; Brassicales; Brassicaceae. The record is from RNAcentral.
UCUCAUCAAAAUCAACUUUUUUUUUUUUUUUGGUUGAAAGUUACUUCUUUUUUUUUUACAUAAUUAUAUAUAUAAAAUCGACCUGAAUAAUCAGAAAUUCAGAUCCGGUUACAAACCCGCUUUGAACAAAACACCAAAGUCAAAAUAUUACAACCUAGUUUGGUCCGCCAAUUAAACCCGGCACAUUCCGCUAAACCAUUUUUCAAAAUUCUUUGGAAUCGGUUUCUGUUCUCAACCAUUGACGAUGAUCGCGGGACGGUGAGGUUCUCCUCGUUGCCUCGGAUACCGGGACUCCCCAUGUCGCCUUCGGAGUAGCUGGAUUCCGAUGAACUCCACGAAGCUUAUAACCGUCACUGUCUUUGAAGCACAAGAGGAGCAAUAAGGGAUUGUUCCAAAUACUUACCACGAUGCCUUGCAAAUGCCACCAAAGCCGGGAAUGUAUGAAACGCCACACAGCGCCUGAAACGCAGCCCUAAGAAGCAAGCACUCGCUACUGCCGCCAUCGAACCAACUACCUAAAAAAACGGGCUGAGAAGGAAACAACAUCAAACUGCAAUCUUCAGAACCUGCAAAGAAGAAAAGAACCGCCUGCGAGGUAGACGACACGAUCGCGUCCUUCCUCACACUGGGAUGACGGAAUCUGAAGCAAGGUCUCCACAUCACCAGCCAGACCCAAACUGACCCAGCCUGGAUUAACCGGCGAAUCCUAACUCCCGUACAGAGAACCCGUACGGGUCUUCCAUGCGCUUCUGGUGAAUACCUCGAUGGAGGAGAAACGAGGAUAAACCAAAAACAGGACCUGAACAAAUCCGACCAUAGAAGGUCAAGACAAAUCACAAAUUGAUGAAAUGGAGACAUAGGUGCAAAGGAAGAGCAGCUUCAAAGUGAGCGGAGCACAGCCAUAGACGACAGGACACCGGAAAUCACCCUCAGCUACGCACGAUAACCCCAUAGAAGUGUAGUCACCACACGGCCAUGGUCGCGCCGGCGACGAACAACAACCGCCUCCCCUGAGCGAGAGAAAAAACCCUUAACCGUUCGACAAGACCACAAGCCGACAGUGAAAGGUGACCUCCUCCCUCCUCUCCACAACGAAGAGCACUGUUCGAAUCAACUGGGGGAGAGAGACCUCUGAACUUCCAUACGCCUCCAGCUCGAGAACGCCGACGGGACCUACAAGUUAAAAUCAAGAUCCGCCUGAGCCAAGCCCUAAACGCCGACUUCGCCUUACCACAAACCCUCACCACCUCACAGGAACUCCAGAUCGAAGUCAACCAACCACGGAUCCAACCCCUCCGGAGAAGAUUAGAGACCCCGCGGCAGAGCUCCUUCCAGAGCGCCUAGUAUAUCGACGGCUUGGAGAGAGAGGUGAAAACGGAGCAAAGCACAAAGAAGAUGGUGAGAGAAGAGAGCCUCCGGCAGCCACGCGCCCGGCUGACAGCCGCCGGAGCAGAUCGGAGAAGAUGAAGAUGGAGUCUUGCUGGAGUUAGAGAGAGGGAGGAGCUAACUUCCAUCAAAAUCAACUUCUAUUGCAAAACAACUUUAAUAUCACGUGUGUUCAUGCUUUGAUAUAAAGUUGUAAAGAAAAUCUUCUAAGAUACUUCACUAAGAAAUACCUAACUAUGAAAACUUUGGGUCUCAGAAAUGGUGCAGCUGUUUAUAGGAAAGAUGCGUUCCUAUGAUAUGAACUUAAUCUGUACCCAAGAAAUAAGAAUUAUUAAAAGAGUAGUUGAAUUUUGGACGUUUAAUCUGUGGACUUAUCUACAUGGUCAUCAUUUUCUUGUUUCUUUUUCACCGGUCAUGUGCUGCGCACUAAAACAUAGUUUAGUCCCUUUUCUAUUUUUCGGAUUUAGAUUACUUUUUACUUAGCGCACAUAUAAUCUAUACAGAAGCAUGAGUUUGGUCUUUAUGGUUGCGCUAGCGGCUCUUGUCUCCAAGUAAGACAUGUGGAUGUGGUAACAAGAACAUACAAUUGUUUUUAGUAUAGACUUUUGGUAAAUAUUUGGCUUUUUGGUAAUGAGUAAAAAGCCAAAUAAAUUACCAAAAGUCAGGAGAAUUUAUUUGGCUUUUUACUCAUUACCAAAAUUCUGACAACACCAUUGGUUUUGAAGCUUAUCGGUUAAAAGCCAAAUAAAUCCUAGCUAUCUCCAUGCUUUCCCAUCCGUCGUAUCCAGCCAGCUCAAUCAGAAUACUAAACCGUAUCACAUUCUUCCUUAGUCACUCAACCAACCAUCCCCACAUGACCAAGUAGACAUGAGAGACGGCUUGGUCUCCGACUAGCCAUCCAGUACAGAUAGUGCGCCAGCCUUGCUAGCGUCCCAGAACCAGUCGCUGAUCAUAUCUUGAUCAGACAGCACACACUCGGCUCUACAGCCCCAGAUCCAAUCAGUAACAACACGCAUCCAUCCAGUACAACUCUCGGUCCAGUCAACACUCAGUCCGCAAUGAAAAGUUACCAGCCAAUCCCUCAAAACUCGGCCUACACCAUAGUCGGUACACAACGCUAAGACUCGAUCCGAGUCUUAACCCCCAGUAUCACGAUCCACACCCAUCCAGCCGAUAAUCGCCUCGCACUGAACAUAUAUAUUCCCACCUCGUCUCAUACGCCAUCAGCACAACCAACAUAACUUGACCCCGUAUGUAACCGAUCCAGACUCCACCGAACCAGACCCUCUUGGACCUGCGAUCCAUCGGACAACACCCAGACUGCCAUUCCAGUUGAUCUCAGACUCAUUCAGAACGAUUUGCGACCGCACCACCAUUGAACGUAAAUGCCGAUCUUCCAGUAUUCGAUGUGUUCCAUCAGUAUACGACUCUUGUCAGUACAUACUAAGCCGAUAACCCCUUUUAUGUGGCUUGUGCACGGUCCCAUGGACUGUAACCACCGUAUAUUGCAGUAAGCACAUCGUGAACCAUCAUGUUCGAUCACUCAGUACGCGGCUCACCUUUAAUGACUCAGACUAAGCCGCACGCACUAUCGCUCGACUCUCGGACAGUCGAAUUAUGACCCGAUCGGCCCAUCUCCGUGGACUCAGUCUCUCUCGAUCAGAUUCUCCUCUUUCUCUCACUGUUGUUCUCUCUAUUUUUUUGUCGCUGUCUUUCUGUUCCAGUAAUCGUGUCCCCCUUUCUGACCGCGGAAAUCAGAAUAAAAGGAGUUUGGGCAGUUACCCCUUGGCCUUAACCACCCCUAACCGCUUAUCAACUUCUCCCGCGCUCAGUCAAGAAUAACUGUCUGCAGCAGUUUCUUUCCCUCGGCCCAACUGCCAAGUGACAGUUUUAAGGCAAUUCUGUAACCGUCCAGGUCGGUUAAUUCAUCCAGUAACCGCUCAGGUAACCGUCCUAAUAACUGCUCCCGCCUAUUUUCUUAGGCAAUCAGUACAUGUUUAGUUCAGUCCGUUCCCGCCAGAACGUAUAUUAAUCAGUCCAUAGACCGACUAACUACUCUCGAAAGACAAGUCCAAUUACCUUGUCUGAAUCCGACCAGCUUAGUUCGACAAAGCUCAAUUGCUAUGUCCCGACCUACAGUAUUGUCUUAAUCCGACCAAUACUAUUCAGACGAUAUGUUGCACAUGCAUUGUUCGUCUGAUCAAUCCAACUAAUACUCGACCUUGGACUGAUCCAGCUUAGACUGCAGGACGGGGAUGCUACACUUAUCCUAAAGUAUUUCUCUAUGAAUAUCUUUAAAUGUGCAAGAACUGAUAGAGACAUUUCAUAAGGAUAUUCAUCUUUGAUUCAAACAACACAUGUAUUUCUUUGCGUCUGUCUAUUUCUCUGAUCACAACUUUGUCCCUGAUUUCACCAAAGAUUUGUUGUCCCCUAAUAAUUACUUGACCUAAUAUUUUUGUGAUCACGUUCUAUUAGAUCUACUAACCAACAUGGGACCCCUUAUGCUAAUAAAAAACGGUGUAAAAAAGCAUGAGUCUGGUAGUUUUUGGCUUCUCUUGUAUAUAUACAAGUUCUCAACUUCUGUUGUAAGUAUAUAUAUAUAUAUUGUAUCUUGUUAUAUAAAUACAUAGCUUUCAUUCCCGCAUGAUCAUGUCUUCUCACCAUAAGCUUUAUAGUCCACAAUUUGUUUUGCACAUACAAUUGAUUAUGCCAACUUGGGACCAUCAUAGAUCAGAUAGAGUAGAAACAUAGGCAUGUGCUGUGUCUGGUUAGGUUUCUGAGGAGCUUGUCAUAAAGCCUGUCAAAACUAAUAGUUUCUCCUCCUAUAAAAUGAAACAAGGCAAUGGUAUUUUCCAUCAUUCAUUUCUGUCAUAACUAUCAUUCACAGAAUCACAUAGAGCUCUACAUCAGAACUUACAAAUCUGUUCUCUUUCUUUCUCCUUCUUACUUUUUGGAUUAAAUAUUUUUUAGAAAAUGAUAAUGAACACAAAGAAGCUAAUCAAGAUGGUCAAGAAAUGGCAACAAAGAGCAGCCCUCCACAGGAAAAGGAUCUCAUUUCAGAGGUCGAGUUCUGGUGGUAGCAGCUCAACGUCAUUAGAUAAGGGUUGCUUUGUGGUUUAUACGGCGGACAAAGCCCGCUUUACUUUUCCAAUAAGUUACCUGAGCAACUCUGUUUUCCAAGUACUCUUGAAAAUCUCUGAAGAAGAGUUCGGCCUCCCCACCGAAGGACCAAUUACAUUGCCAUUCGAUUCUGUUUUCUUGGAGUAUCUUAUCAAAUUGGUCCAGCGACGAAUGGAUGAAGAUACAGAAAAGGCUUUGUUAAUGUCAAUCUCUAGUGCUAGAUGUUCUUGGCAAUGCUCUUUGCAACUACAAGAUCAAAGUAGUUGUCAACAUUUGCUUGUAUUUUAGAGUGUAGCAGUUUCUGUAUUAUAUAGGCACAGAAAUAAACAUUAUUAUCUUCAUCUCUUCUCAUCAAAAUCAACUUUUUUUUUUUUUUUGGUUGAAAGUUACUUCUUUUUUUUUUACAUAAUUAUAUAUAUAAAAUCGACCUGAAUAAUCAGAAAUUCAGAUCCGGUUACAAACCCGCUUUGAACAAAACACCAAAGUCAAAAUAUUACAACCUAGUUUGGUCCGCCAAUUAAACCCGGCACAUUCCGCUAAACCAUUUUUCAAAAUUCUUUGGAAUCGGUUUCUGUUCUCAACCAUUGACGAUGAUCGCGGGACGGUGAGGUUCUCCUCGUUGCCUCGGAUACCGGGACUCCCCAUGUCGCCUUCGGAGUAGCUGGAUUCCGAUGAACUCCACGAAGCUUAUAACCGUCACUGUCUUUGAAGCACAAGAGGAGCAAUAAGGGAUUGUUCCAAAUACUUACCACGAUGCCUUGCAAAUGCCACCAAAGCCGGGAAUGUAUGAAACGCCACACAGCGCCUGAAACGCAGCCCUAAGAAGCAAGCACUCGC